RNAcentral lists this ribosomal RNA (497 nucleotides) under uncultured bacterium. RNAcentral's name for it is "partial 16S ribosomal RNA". It matches the Rfam family "Bacterial small subunit ribosomal RNA", at positions 28 to 507 of the family's 1533-position model. The record is from RNAcentral.
GAUGAACGCUGGCGGCGUGCCUAAUACAUGCAAGUCGAGCGAACGGACGAGAAGCUUGCUUCUCUGAUGUUAGCGGCGGACGGGUGAGUAACACGUGGAUAACCUACCUAUAAGACUGGGAUAACUUCGGGAAACCGGAGCUAAUACCGGAUAAUAUUUUGAACCGCAUGGUUCAAAAGUGAAAGACGGUCUUGCUGUCACUUAUAGAUGGAUCCGCGCUGCAUUAGCUAGUUGGUAAGGUAACGGCUUACCAAGGCAACGAUGCAUAGCCGACCUGAGAGGGUGAUCGGCCACACUGGAACUGAGACACGGUCCAGACUCCUACGGGAGGCAGCAGUAGGGAAUCUUCCGCAACGGGCGAAAGCCUGACGGAGCAACGCCGCGUGAGUGAUGAAGGUCUUCGGAUCGUAAAGCUCUGUUAUUAGGGAAGAACAUAUGUGUAAGUAACUGUGCACAUCUUGACGGUACCUAAUCAGAAAGCCACGGCUAACUACGUG